ACACACACAACCCCACACCGGUCGCAUCGCGCCAAGGGCGUGUCCCGCAGGCUGCACUGUGGGGGCGGACUGGGGAGGGGGCUGCGGGGGCCGCGCCCGGCCACGUCCAGAAGUGGAGCAUCCCUCCUUCGACGCACUGUUCCAGCCCACGGGCUGACGACCCUUGGGCGGACCCAGACUCAAUGCACUCGCAGGAGGUGGAAGGCAGUGAGGGUGGAGAAAUGAAACGGUGCCCUACUGGCCCGGAGCGGAGGCCCGAGCAUCUCUCCAGCGGCGGAUCGAGCCUUGCCCCCGCGCAGACAGCCCCGGGCAGACCCCAGACCCAGUCCACUCGCGGCGGGCAGGAGGAAUCGGGAAGGGAGAUAACAGCCCUCAACCCACUGUCUCCCUCCCCCCGAGGGGGACGUCCGGCCAAGUCCGAGGACGGAGCAUCCUUCCGCGGAAGCCAGGUCCUUCCCCGCGUAGCUCCGGGCUCCCCGCGAGCCCCGCUAUCCGAGGGUAGCGCUGGGGUCCCCUGCGCCCGACCGGACGGCCAGUACCCGGGGACCGCGCCGGGCUCCCAGAAGCUUCGCGGGCCCCCGCCUGGCCCGCGCAGCUCGCAAGGCGCCCUCCCCACGCGCGGCCCCGGCCGGGCCUUACCGAGUAGGCGGACGGCGGUUCGGCGGCAGCAGAAUGAGCUAGCGCUGGGCGAGCGCCGGGGGCGGGAGGGCCGCGGGCGAGGCUGGAGCGCACCGACGCCGGUCGCCACCGAUUGGCUGAGGCGCGUCGGGCUGCGGCGGGAGCUAGCAGGCAACUCCCGGUAAGCGACUGGGGGCGGGGCCUGGAUGGGGCGGGGCCUGGACGGGGCGGGGUCAGGUGAGGAAACUGAGGUUCGCUAUUUUGACUGCCAACGCAGCCUUUGCCUAGAUGGGAUCUAGGACGAGAUUCCUCUCCUUCUCCAUCUGUAAAAUGGGCCAACUCAUCAGGGCUAUGCCCAUAAAAGCACUUAGCAACGUGCCUGAUCUAUGCUGCGCUUAUAGGGCAGGCUGAUGCUGCUCAUGCUCCACCCCCACCUUUACAGACGAGGAACCCCGUGGGGGAAAGGAUGACUAACUUGAGGGAGAUCACACAGCUAAGAAUGAACGGAUCCUAGAAGUGAAGCAGUCAGGCACGUGCCCUUUUGGUGCCACCUGCCAACCUACCAUGCGGAAAUACUGCUAUGUUCCACCCCCGUCCCACGCGUGAGCCUUGCCUCCAGUUAUUGAUUCUUUGAAUCUGUCAAUCCUGAAAUCGGGGAGGGACGGGAAGAACCUCUCCUAGUUUUUAGGCGCCCUUCUUUAAGGACUGAAGUUGAUGGUCUCACCCCACGCUGGCUCUUGCUUGGCCCCGCCCAUCUCGUGCCCUACGAGGCAGGUGGUGUGGGCCAGGACGCCAAGGCACAACUUCGAGACGCCGGCUUCCUACACCUGCCCUGGGCACUCGCGCGUCGCCUCCCCGCCUGUCCCUGCUCAUGGGCCUUUCUGGCUUGCGCCACGGAGGCUGGACUGUCAUGCUCACCUCACGCCCUUCCCUGCUCUCCCUGGAACCCCAGCGCGGGCAGGUCCCCGCCCCAAGGUCACUUCCUUGUUUAAUCAGUGCCCUGUUGUGCGUCCCUCUCGGAUUGGCCCUGCGCCCUGUCUGUUGCGAAGGCUCGGCGGCCUUGACCGGGAGCUGCUCCCUGCGCGCCGCCUCCGAGCCACCUGCAGGCGGGGUGGGGGAGGGACCCAGGAGCGCGGGAGCCUCGCUCACCUGUGCCUCCGCUGCGUAGUUCGCGCCGAGCUACGGGGCCUCGUUCCCCUCUUGGGGUCUACCCGGUGCCUCUGCUUCGGGAACUGCAGCUCCCAGGAGUGUCUAUUAAUAAAAGGCGAGAGCCAGACCCCUGGGGAGCUAGUUCCAGGCCUGAUCUUAAAUCCCCUGGGGCCAAAAAUAUCCCAGUACCCAACUCAGAAACUGGAAUAAUCUUUCUCAAGCUCUGUUGGCUUUUUAGUCUUCAAAUUCUUUCCUGUUUUUUUUUUCCUUUCCCAGUUGUUUUUUGUUUGUUUGUUUGUUUGUUUGUUCCGGGGAUCAAACUCGGGACCUUGGGCUUUCAAGGCAGGCUCCAGAACCACUGAGCUAAAUCCCCAGCCUUCUUUCCCAGUUUUAAUAAAAUAUAAUGUAGCAGCUGCUUACUAUAGAAACUUUUUCAAGAAUAAGAAAACUUUUUAAAAUGCACGUAAUGUUUUUUAUCACUGAGGUUUCUUUUUUUAAUUCUAAAAAUACCUUU
RNAcentral lists this long non-coding RNA (2281 nucleotides) under Heterocephalus glaber (naked mole-rat). RNAcentral's name for it is "lncRNA (ENSHGLG00100034182.1)". Lineage: Eukaryota; Metazoa; Chordata; Mammalia; Rodentia; Bathyergidae. The record is from RNAcentral.